RNAcentral lists this ribosomal RNA (130 nucleotides) under Burkholderia territorii. RNAcentral's name for it is "partial 16S ribosomal RNA". It matches the Rfam family "Bacterial small subunit ribosomal RNA", at positions 1 to 126 of the family's 1533-position model. Lineage: Bacteria; Pseudomonadati; Pseudomonadota; Betaproteobacteria; Burkholderiales; Burkholderiaceae. RNAcentral also lists the same sequence under 2 other names. The record is from RNAcentral.
UUAAACUGAAGAGUUUGAUCCUGGCUCAGAUUGAACGCUGGCGGCAUGCCUUACACAUGCAAGUCGAACGGCAGCACGGGUGCUUGCACCUGGUGGCGAGUGGCGAACGGGUGAGUAAUACAUCGGAACA